AAGUUUAUACUCCCAACCCUAACCCUAACUUCUAAUUUUCUUUUUGCCUUUAUAAACGCCUCGUGUUGUGAAUAUGAUGUCUAUUUCCAGUUUCCCCUGAGGAGUAUGUUUGGUUGUUGUUUUCGUUGCUGGGAUUGCACCACCAAGGGCCUUGCCCAUGCUAGGCUGCAUCCCCAGACCUGUUAUUUUGGGAGAGCAUCUUUAUGGCUUGGAAUUUGUGAUUCUCUUUCCAUACCCUUAGAGUAGGUUUACGCGUGUACACUACCAUCUCUGGCUGGUUUCUGAACCCCUGAAGUAGGUAUUGGGAGCAAGGGAUUUAGCCACGACCACAGGGAGGUCCUGAGGUGACUGUGACAGCUUCAUGUGGAUGCUGAGGUCUGAGUGGUCCCUGUCCCUUUAAAGGGAGAUGGAAUGUUUGCCUUUUGUCCUGGGUCACUAGGGAUCCCACAGGGAGAGGAGCCACAGUUGGAGCCAGGCAGAGGAAGAGCCCCCAGGGACCACAGGAGAGUGAAGGACAGAGCGGUGGGAGCAGCCGUGGGCCCAAAGGAAACAGCCCUUCCGGGCUCCUCGGUGGGCAGAGCACCUUCGUCCAGAAGUCUCGUUCCUAAGAAGCCUCGUCCUUUCCCUAACACGACAGGAGCCAAGCUGGCCCUUCAGAAGUCACCCUCAGACUUCAGAGGCCCUGUCCUCGAGGGGACCUGGCUCUGGGACGCCCCAGCAGUCACCUCAGCUGCCAGGCAGGCAGGACCAAAGCCGGUUCCGCUGGCAAGCGAUUCCAAGAAGUCACCGUGCUCUGCAGCUCUGAUGGGAGCCACGAGGAGACCUGUGGUGACUUCGGCCCCUGGACGCCUCAGGGCUGUGGGUCCUGCCCCGUCACAGCCAGAGUCACAAAUUCGAGUUUGUGACAGUGGUGACUUAAUCAGGACUGAAAAUGAGGCAGGAAAACCUGGCCUCCGCCUUGAGGAGGAGGCGUCUAACUUGUCCCGAGUUACAGACAAACGCCACAGGAGUGAACACCGCAGCGUCUCACUCCAGCUCAAGGACCCUGAAAGUCAGGUGUGUGCAUCAGGCGGGAGCCCUCCUGGCGCAGAAGUGAUGAGCCGCCUGGUUUCUGCUGGCUGAGAUUCACACGAAACAGCAGACACCUCGGGCGAGACGUGUGUGUCCGUUCAGGACCCUUCCCUGUCCUGCCUCCCUGGGUUUCCUGUGUGGAUCUCAUCGGCCCCUGCUGCUCUCCACUGGAUGAGACUUUCAAAAGUAAAAAAAAAAAAAAAGCUUGCAUCACUGAAAUAAAUUCCACUUGCUCUUUAGCUAUUACCCUUUUUUUUAAAGUUCUGAUUAAAUUCAGCUUGCUAAGAUGCUAUUUUAUUUUAUAUUUUAUCUUGUGGUGCCAGAGACUGAACCAUGAGAUGCUGAG
Molecule: long non-coding RNA, 1417 nt
Filed under: Fukomys damarensis (Damara mole-rat)
Lineage: Eukaryota; Metazoa; Chordata; Mammalia; Rodentia; Bathyergidae
Description: lncRNA (ENSFDAG00000031950.1)
Source: RNAcentral